Hippocampus comes (tiger tail seahorse) is the source of this 405-nucleotide long non-coding RNA. RefSeq lists it as uncharacterized. The record is from RefSeq and is a predicted model, not a curated record. The transcript is spliced from 3 exons. NCBI's taxonomy places the organism in Eukaryota, Metazoa, Chordata, Actinopteri, Syngnathiformes, Syngnathidae.
ACCACCUCCAUGAUGCGCUUGCUCGCCGCCACAGAGAACUCUCGCCUGUCACCUGGAAGUCGUGAAGAUCCAAACAAGAUGCUUUGUAAAUAGCCGCCAUUGUUUUUUUUUCAGACAACAGCACUCAUUACAGAAUCAUUAACAGGGCAUAUCAUCUUACAGCAUCACCGUCACAUCACAAUGCUAUUCCCAGCGUUUUGGUUUCCGCAGUCUGGCAGACAUGAUGUCAUUCGCUACUCAGAAGUGCCAUCUUGGAAGUCUGGACUCCGCUUAUGGCUAUGCAAUGUAAGUGAGAGAGAGUGUGCGUGUGUGUGUGGGUGUACUCUGAGGGAAGACGUAACUCCAAAGUGGCCCGUGAAAAAAUGAAUUUGACACCCCUGAUUUACAGCUUUUGUUGAUUUGGCA